UACUCACAACUCCACAUUUUCUCCGCCUCUGUAUUCCUCCGCCCAUGCGGAAGUUGUGACCAGGUGCAGGAGGGUUGCUGAAGAAGUACAUGGGCCUGAAAUCAAUCUUCUGUUCAACAGAAAUAUCUUAAAGACUAAACUGUUAAGGGAGGCAUUAAAACUCUGUACGUCAAAAACAUGAAAUAUGUAAUUGCGUGGGAUUGUCAAGUCCUUGUAGAUCUUCAAGUUAAGGCAUUUACAGGAAGACAAAGAAGUACAAUGAAAUUUAUGAAUAUAUAUAUUUGUAAACAAAGACUGACAAACAGCCAAUAUGCAGAAGAAAAUGAACUCUGCAAAUAAAACUCUGAGGGGCCGAAGCCCCCUCCUUUGUGAGAAUCGCAAGAUCACUAUUGAUUUGGGUCAGGAGGCCCAGGAAAUGAGAGAGAGACGUGCAGGAUGUCACGUUUCUCUCCCCCCCCCCCCCCCCCCACCCAUAGCGAUGUAAAGCUACGGGACAUGGCCAUUGUCUCCGGAAGACCAAGUUGUGUAUUGAGUACUGUACUAUUCAUUGAAGCCCCUCAGGGGGUGACCAGAGUGGGCUGGUUGAGGGAUUGCAUCAUCCCAACCUGAUUGACAUCUGAGACCCCAUGAGGAAGUAUAAAAGAGGGUCUGGGGAACAACCUCUUCAGACGCACCAGAAGAAACGCUAGCGAUCCCGUAAUAGCGGGAAGCCAUCUGAAGGAAGCCACGUGCGUUCGGUUCCCUUGCCUGGGGGCUGGUGGCUGGUACCACGGAAAACGACUUGGAACUAACAAUGGGGAACCAACUCCCCCGACUCAACGGAUUGGCCUAAUAAAAGACCCGGGCAAGUUUAAAACCGUCUCUCUUAAACCCAAAGAGCUGCAGCUUGAAAGAACAGUGACUUUUAUCUUUCCAUCGGACAAUACAAUAUCCCCUAGACAAACGAUAGAGCUAUUGCUUAACUGAUGAUUAUUAUUAUACCCGCGUUUUUAGAUUGAGUAUUGACGACGUAUAUUAUCUGAAUGUCUGUAUUAAUCUUGUUUUGUGUCCCUUUAUAAAUAAAGACUUUUAAAAAUAGUACCAUCAGACUUCAACGGACCUCUCUAUCUUUGCUGGUAAGUGAUCCAGUUACAGGAAUUUCGUAACAAUAUAAAAACAAGAUAAACAUUACUUACCUUAAUGAGACUUUUAACAAAUCUAUUUUGUCUUCUUUUGAUUUCUUCCUUUUUCUUAUUCACUUAUUCUUUCCGUAACUCAGACCCAAGCACUAGCUUCAGUUUUCCUUCUAUUUCAGUCUGAUGUUGUGUUUUAUAGAGUCUAUUAAGAUCUUCUAUUAUGUGAGAAAGUGUUUUCACAAACAAUGCACAACAGUUUUCCUGACGGACCUCCUAUAAAUAAGAACUCAUUUUCCCACUGUUCAUUGAAUUCACGCUUGCUAUCACUUUCUGCUUUUCUUUUGCUUAUUUUCUUUUGCACUGUGUUGGGUAACUAAAUGUAAAAACAAGGUUUAAUUUUUGAAAAAGUACAAAACUACAGAUGUUCACAAAGGACGAACAGAGCACAACUCCAUAGUGCACGAGUGUCAUUUGUAAACUUGCAAAAACCUACAACGCACUGCUGGUGCAGACGCCUGGUGCCUCAGGAUCAAACAGUUAGGUAAUGACAGAACAAAAGUCCUUCUUUCCUAGUUUAACUCAUUGAACAUUUUUUAAAAUUGAAAAUAGAUUAAUGUGAAAGAACAUAACAUUUGCCAAAAGAUGUGCACAAAUUACGAAGAUGUGCAUAAUAAAAUCGCUAAAAAUAGUUGCUAAGUUUUAGAUUUAUUCUCAGUAAAACCCAUUUCUAGUUCUAAGCUACUUGAAUUCCUGUUAUAGAUAUUUUUUCUACCAAUUGGUUUUUGGUUAAUACUUUUUGCAUGAGUAGGCUUACUUUUUUAUUAUUAUCACUGGGGUGCAAUGCACCGCUUCUAAUCAUCCAAAGUGCCUCUUUUGGCGCAUGGCCAUAUGUUGGCCAUUCCUGCUCUACAACAUCUCCAUUAACUAUUUUGGCAUUUGGGUUCCCAUUUCCCUGCAAAUUCUAGUUUAAACCCCACUGUGCAGCAUUAGCAAACCUUCCCGCUUAAAGCAUCAGGAUUCAAACCACCAAGUUCCAGAACAGUUCCUACCUCUCAACCAUCAGAUUCUUGAACCAAAUGGGUAACUUCACUCAGCUUCACAUGCCCCAACUUUGAAAUGUUCACACAACCAAUGGAUUCACUUUCAAGAACUUUUCAUCUCAUGUUCCGUAUAUUUACUGCCUGUUAUUUAUUAUUAUUAUUUCUUUCUUUCUUUUUGUAUUUUCACAGUUUGUUGUCUCUGUACUCUGGUUGAACGCCCAAGCUGGGCUGUCUUUCAUUGAUUCUGUUAUGGUUAUUAUUCUUAGAUUUAUUGAGUAUGCUCACAAGGAAAUGAAUCUCAGGGUAAUAUAUGGUGACAUACAUGUACUUUGACAAUAAAUUUUCUUUGAACUUUGAGAAUAAAUUGUCUAGGAUUGGCUAAGUGUCAAAAUGGGCAUUUUUGCUGAUGGGCACAGACUUGGUGGGCUGAUGGAUCUGUUUACCUUUUCCGCACUUUUCUCUGAUCCUGUGACACGUUGACAAUGGUUGUUGUCUGCAACUUAUAUUAGUAUGAAUGUGCUUGCCAGUGAACAGGGAAGGCUUGAAGGUUAUUCAGGUCUUGUUGCAUACUUUGCCAUGAACUAUUUGUGCAAAUGGAUAUAAUUGUUGUGUUAUCAUCUGCUGAGAACAAUAUCAGUAGAUUGAUGUUAAUUGACGGCACAGAUAAAAACUGUGUGGUGGAAAGUGUGCUGACUGGCUGCAUUGCAGCCUAAUAUUGGAACGCCAAUGCUUUUGACAGAAAGUCCUACAAAUGGUAGUGGAUUUGGCUGAGUACAUCAUAGGUAAAACCCUCCUAACCAUUAAGCACAUCUGCAUGCAACAUUGGUGUAAGAAAGCGUCAUCCAUCAUCAAAGGUCCUUGCCUCUUUUCUCACUGCUGCCAUCAGGUAGAAGGUACAAGUGCCUCAGAACCCACACCACCAGUUUCAAAAACAGUUACUGCCCCUCACCAUUAGGCUUUUGAACAAAAUGGAAUAACUACACUCAUUUAAGGACUCUUUUAUUUUGUGUUCAUUUUUUAUUGCUGUUUAUUUAUUAUUUACACUUGCGUAAUUUGUUUUCCUUAUCCACUCGUUCCCUUCCCACUGAUCUCCCUUCUGGCACUUAUCCUUGUAAGCGGAACAAGUGCUACACCUGCCUUUACACUUCCUCCCUCACCACCAUUCAGGGCCCCAGACAGUCCUACCAGGUGAGGCGACACUUCACCUGUGAGUCAGCUGGUGUGGUAUACUGCGUCCGGUGCUCCCGGUGUGGCCCUUUAUAUAUUGGUGAGACCCAGCACAGACUGGGAGACCAUUUCGCUGAACACCUACGCUCUGUCCACCAGAGAAAGCAGGAUCUCCCAGUGACCACACAUUUUAAUUCCACGUCCCAUUUCCAUUCGGAUAUGUCUAUCCAUGGCCUCCUCUACUGUCAAAAUGAAUCCAAGCUCAGGUUGGAGGAACAACACCUUAUAUACCGGCUGGGUAGCCUCCGACCUGAUGGCAUGAACAUUGACUUCUCUAAUUUCUGUUAAUGCCCUUCCUCCCCUUCUUACCCCAUCCCUGACAUACUUAGUUGUUUUUUUUUCUCUCUCUCUCCACCCAUCACUCUGCCUGUUCUCCAUCUCCUUCGGGUGCUUCCCCCACCCCCUUUCUUUCUCUGAGGCCUCCCGUCCCAUGAUCCUUUCCCUUCUCCAGCUCUGUAUCACUUUUGCCAAUCACCUUUCCAGCUCUUAGCUUCAUCCCACCCCCUCCUGUCUUCUCCUAUCAUUUUGCAUUUCCCCCUCCCCCCACUACUUUCAAAUCUCUUACUAUCAUUCCUUUCAGUUAGUGCUGACGAAGGGUCUCGGCCCGAAACGUCGACAGUGCUUCUCCUUAUAGAUGCUGCCUGGCAUUUUGUGUGUGUUGCGUAAUUUGUUUACUAUUUACAGAUCCUGUUUACAGUUACUGUUCUAUAGAUUUGCUAUGUAUGCCCACAGAAAAAGAAUCUCCGGGUCGUAUGUGGUGACAUGUAUGUACUCUGACAAAUAAAUUUUACUUUGAAAUCUGAACUUUGAGACUGCAGAUGCUGGAGUUUGGAGCAGAUGGAGAGCAAUCUGCUGAAAGAUAAAAACCUUUAAUUGUACAACUAUCAAGAGGGCUGGGUUCACAGAAGAAUUUGCAUCUGCAAAGCAUUUUUGUUAACAUGCUGUGCCCAUGGUUUUACAGGUAAGGAAUUGACUUGAAUUGAAUUGACUUUAUUAUUGCUUACAUCCUUCGAAUACAUGAGGAGUAAAUAUCUUCAGGUUACAUCUCCGUUCAAAUGUGCAAUGUGCAAUUAUAAUAAUUUAUAAUAAAUAUUAUGUACAACAGGAUAGACAAUAUAUCAUAGAAAUACAGUUGCGUCAGCAUGAAUUAAGCAGUCUGAUGGCCUGGUAGAAGUAGCUGUCCUGGAGCCUGUUGGUCCUGGCUUUUAUGUGUGCCGUUGCCCAGAUGGUAGCAGCUGAAACAGUUCGUGGCUGGGGUGACUCAGGUCUCCGAUGAUUCUUCAGGCCCUUUUUACACACUUGUCUUUGUAAAUGUCCUGAAUAGUGGGAAGUUCACAUCUACAGCUGCAUUGGGUUGUCUGCACCACUCUCUGCAGAGUCCUACGAUUGAGGGAGGUACAGUUCCCAUAUCAGGCAGUGAUGCAGCCAGUCAGGAUGCUCUCAAUUGUGCCCCUAUAGGAAGAAUCUGGGGGGCCAUACCAAACUUCUUCAACCAUCUGAGGUGAAAGAGGUGCUGUUGUGCCUUUUUCCAUCACAGAGCCGGUAUGUACAGACCACAGAAAUGUACAGAAAUCUUUCAUGAUGUUUAUGCCAGGGAACAUAAAGCUGUUCACUCUCUCAACCCCAGAUCCAUUGAUGUCUAUAGGGGGUUAGCCUGUUUCCAUUCCUCCUGUAGGCCACAACCAGCUCCUUUGUUUUUGCAACGUUGAGGGAGAGGCUGUUUUCUCGACACCAUUGUGUCAGGGUGAUGAAGUUCUUUUGCAGUGUAAUCACUUCACAUAUUCUAGUUACCAGUUUUUAAUCUGAUGAGGUAAUUAUUCCUCCACCAUAAUGGGACAGAGAGGAGAAUGCUACUUAAACCACUAUAUUUCAAAUAUCCAAAAAAUAAUCCAUUGUUUCUCCCAUUUCAACACAGCAUUCAACAUGAUGAUAUAUGCACAGCACAGGAGAAUGUUAUUUGGCCCUCUUUGACAUUGCUACAGUAUCUAUUCAGCUUCUCUUUGGUCAUUGCCUGCAAAGUUUUCCUUUACAUUAUCAAAUUGUUUCUUAUUCUCUCCUCUAGGUUCUAAUCCACAUAUGUUAAUGUAAAGAAGAACUUCCUGAUAAUCAGCCUGAAUUAUUGCUCCUUGUAACACUGCUGGAACUUAAUUGUUCUUUGCUCAUAUAAACCGAGUAAAGCUGCCUACAUGGAUUAUAAAAUUAGUAGUAAUCUUUUUUAUGAGGACUGGGUUAUGCUGUCUUUUAGAAACGGAGCAAUUGUUUUAAAUUUUUUAAUUAAUCAAAAAUUAUAGCAUAUAGCAGUCUCUUCUUGUUUGUCAAUCAAUGCAAGGAAAAUCAAAUGACAUGAUAAGGACAUAUAGCUUCCCUAAAAUUUGUACCCUAAUAAUGCUUCAUGAGAGAAUACCCACACCUUAAUAUAAUCUCCAUCAAAAUCCCCCAUGAUUUCCUUUAUCAUCUCCCCAUGGUAACAUCCAAGAUUUGCUAUUAUAUUUCUCUCAUCACGCAUUUUAUAUAUAACUAUUACACAGAUAGAGUGGGAGUUUAUACAAAAGACACACAGCAGGGAAACCAAGCAACAAAAUAUGUCACUAUGUUGACUUCAUGUCAAAGUGCCACAGGAACUUGAGACUUUGGAUGAAUGCCUACAUGAAGCUACUGAGCUGGAGUCUGCCAUGGUAAAAAUGAAAACUUGGCAGUGGAAUCCAGGGAUGAAGGACCAUAUGUUAACUUGCUCUUUUAUUUUCCUUGACCGGUGCAAUUAAGUUUAGGAAUCUGGAACGUUUCACUCCAUGUCCCUUUGAAGACAGUACUGAUGCAUGGCGCAGUGGUUGCUUCUUAGAUAAGAAGAUAUCCUCCAUUGCCUUCAUCCCCAACACUGGAGAUUACGUAGAUGCUGGAAACCUUGAGCAACACACAGAAAAUGCUGGAGAAACUGAGCAAGUCGGGAAGCAUCUAUGAAGGGGAUUAAGUCCACCCCUCCCUCACCCACCCACCUUUCCCCUCACCUGGUCUCACCUGCCAGCUUGUACUUCUCCCCAUCUUUUCUGCUACCUUCUUAUUCUGGCUUCUGGCCCUUCCUUUCCAGUCUUGAUGAAGGGUCUUGGACCAAAAUAUCAAUAAUUUAUUCCUCACCAUAGAUGCUUCCCGUGUUGCUGAAUUUCUCCAGUAUUGUGUAUGUGUUGCUCCAUUGUCUUAACUCCAGUCCAGAUUUUGGAAUCUGUUCUCUUUUAUUAUCAAUCUGAAUGACUGAGUCAUCGAUUUCAAGCAAUUAAAACAAAACUGCUCCUCUUUUAAACCUACACAAAAACAGUUAACUCCAACUGAGUGAAAUUGAACUGCAUCAAGUCUACUCACAGUAUCUGUGUCCAUUACGUUCUCUAAUCCCUCCAGUGUCUACCAGUCAUGAAAGCUUUUAAGAGUACAAGCAGACAGAAACAUUCCUGCUGGCAUGCCCCAUGUUCCAUGACGUAUUCUGAACAGAUCAGAGGCUAAGAUUUAUCCACCAUGUAGGCUUUCAAAGUCACUUGGAAGAACAAGGAGCCAAUGGAACUUCCAGGGGUUGUACUUCUCACCACCUUUUGUGUUCUGAUGAGAAGGGGCACUCCUGUGAGGACCUUCAUGUAUUACUGGAGUAUCAGGGCUACUUUACACUCCUUUUGAAGGGGGCUGAUAUUCACAACGUCUCAGAUUGUGCAUUUGCUAAGGUUUGUGAAUAGAUGGUUGACAUGGAGCGAUGGUGCAGGAAAGCAGUUUCCAUUAUCAGGGACUCCCACCACCCAGGACAUACUCUCUUCUCAACUCUGCCAUUAGGAAGAAGAUACAGGGCCUCAGGGCUUACAUCAGCAGGCAUCAGGCUCUUGAACCAAAGUGGAUAACUUCACUUGUCUAAAAUCUAUCGAGCUACUUUCAAUGCCUCUUCACCUCAUGUUCUCAAUAUUUAUUGCUUAAUUAUUUAUUAUUAAUAUCGUAUUUUUAUUUUGUCUCAGCUGAAACUGGUAAAACUAGCAUACUCAUUUGUCAAUUGCUAGGAUUGUUAAUACUGUGGCUUUUUGGAGAUUUACAUAAAUAUUGCUGCUUAGGGAUAAUUGUUAAAUGCUAUUUUAUAGUGACCUUGGGAUAAUACCAGUUGUAGAUAUUACUAUUGAUACAAUGUAUACCCUGCUUAUGUUCCAUAGCCUUUCAAUAUCUUCAGGACUGAAAAAGGGUCUUGGCCCAAAAUGUUGACUAUUUACUCUUUUCCAUAGAUGCUGCCUGGCCUGUUGAGUUCCUCCAGUAUUUUGUGUGUAUUGCAAAGUUGAAAAAUGUUGAGAUAAAUGUUGUGCUUUCCAUUGAAAGUAAUAGAUUAUAGAAAUUCCUGAUGAAAUGCCACAGCACAACAAUAAAACAAAAGCAAGGCUAAUUUUAGCUCAGAAUCCUGCUUACACAAUUACAUUGCACACAAAUUCUCUGCCCUCUUGAAUUAGUUUCAGCUAUAGUUAGCAGGGUUAGUUUGUUCUGAUGUCACAUUGCCUGGGUGUCAAGUAACUUCAAAUAUUUUAAUAAUAACACAGAUACACUCCAACAUUAUACAUUAUUUAAGACAUUCAAGAUUAUAAACAAAUAACUAGUAAUUCAUUUCAUGAUUGCUUCUGCUUUUGUUUGUACAGAAGAGUCAAUGGAUUAGCUGACAUAAAAGCAGUCAAUCACCUCUUAAAGCCCAUUAGAAGACCACAAAGAAGCUUUGACACAACAAGCUGUUUCAUAAUUGCUAACAGCUGAAAAUGGCCAGCAUGUUCACCCAAAUAACAUGAAAAUGAUAAAAGUGUGUGUCAGAGACAUGAACUAUUGCAUACGUUAUGUAUGUGACAGAUCUCUGCAGCCACUCUCCUCUUGUGUUUACACAAAACCCUGAAAAAGGCUUAUUUUUUGUUAAUCCAAGUUCCCUUUGUAAAUUAUACCAGAAUGUGUCUCCAACGGCCUUUCAGCAAGAGUUGUGGACUCCAGAAUAUUAAUGGUUUUGUUUCCCUCUUGCCAUCUGGCAUGUUCAACAUAUCCUUUAUUUUCUUUUCUGUUUCAGAUUUUCAGAACUUGUAGUAAGUUAGAAACAUGGAAAACCUAAGGCACAAUACAGGCCCUUUGGCCCACAAUGAUGUGCUGAACAUGUACUUACGUUAGAAAUUACCUAGGGUUACCCAUAGCCCUCUAUUUUUCUAAGCUCCAUCUACCUAUCCAGGAGCCUCUUAAACAACCCUAUCGUAUCUGCCUCCACCACCAUUGCUGGCAGCCCAUUCCACGUAUUUUUGCUUUAGGAAGUUUGCUUCCAAAUCAUUAUAGCUCACUGGGAGCGAAAGUAGUUUUCUUUUGUCUCCUCUGGUUCCAUUGAUGAUUAUUUCUGAUCUCUGGCAUCUGAUUAUUGAUGCUAUUGACCUAUUUGGAAAGAUUUUUCAAAGAAGUCUGGGGAGUGGGGCUGAGGAGGGGGAAAAAAAAGAUCAGCCAUGAUUGAAUGGUGGAGCAGAUUUGAUAGUCAAAUAGCCUAAUUCUGCUCCUAUGUCUUAUGGUCUUAUGGUUUUACUUUGUAAUUCUUGACUUAGCUAACAAUGUGAUAUGUUAAAAUCCUGACGAAGGGUCUCGGCCAAAACAUUGUCUGUACUCUUUCCAUAGAUGCUGAGCUCCUCCACAAUUUUGUGUGCUAUGUGAAAUGCAUUCUCAGAUUUUACAGUGAGUGAACCUAAAGUGUAGAAAGGGGAGAAUGAAAACACUCAUAUAAUGAAUAGAAGUUUUAGGUUUGACUGAAUGCCAGAGAUUUUGCUAACGCUAGAACUCCAAAGUAACACACACAAAGUGUCGGGGCCGGAGGCGAGGGACUGGCGGGUGCAGCUUGCUGCUCUGCAGUCUGAGGCUGAAGCAUGCAACUACGGGCCCCUGAAUCGGCUGCCAGGCGUGGCUUCGUGUCUGUGACUCACUCUUGUGAAUUUCAGUUCAGAAUGCUAGUUCUUACUUUUAUUGUUUGCACAAUUUGUUUUUUUUCCUCUGUACAUUGGGCGUUUGACUGUCUUCUUUUUUUAAUGGGUUCUAUUGGGUUUCUUUGUUCUGUGGCUGCCUGUAAGGAAACAAAUCUCAAGGUUGUGUAAAGUACACAUACUUUGAUGAUAAAUGUGCUUUAAACUUUGAAUUCGGCUGGUCAGGGGAGGAAUAAGGAGCCGAUGUUUUGGCUGAGACCCUUCAAUUUGACCAUUUUUCUGCAUUGUGUGAUUCUGGCUAAUUUGCAUUCUGGGUGGAAUGGACUAUCAAGGAAGGCUUUUGUUUCAGAAAACUCAGUAGAGAGAGAGAUGCCUGUAAAAUAAUUUGACAAUGCGAUAAGUGUGAUGUUGUUGAUUAUUGUAUUGUCGUUGUUCAGUCGUUUAGUUGAGUCCGACUCUUUGUGACCUCAUGGACCAUAGGGUCCAUAAGGUUUUCAUGGCAGGUAGAUUGCCAGGCCUUUCUUCUGCACAGAUACUGCUGCUGCCCAGGUUGGAACCCGCCUGGUUUUGAACUCUGGACCAUCUGCCUUGAAGUCCAGUGCUGAUGCCACUGCACCACCAGUUGGCCCAUUAUUGCAUAUUACAUUAAUUUUCUCAGGAAUUAGUUACAGUCACAAAUAAAAAGCAUAAUAAGGGUUUGAGACAAAUAACACUUCAGUCAUAGUGGGUUAGUCCAUGAGGAAAAACCAGUGGAAGGGUAUGCACAGUGGAGACUCCUGUGGAGCAUAAACAUAAGAUGGACUAAUUAGGGCAAAUGGUCUGUCUCCUAUUCUGUGUUGCACAUAAUGUAUGAUAGUAACAUUCUCUGUAAACAUAAGGACCCACAAAUAAUAAAGAAUAUAAACUUGAUUUAGAAGGGUGGAUGGAAACCGGUAAGAGAAAAAGUAAAACAUGAAUGUAAUUCCUAUCUCUUCACAUUUCCUUUCCCAACUAAAGAAGAUUCCCGCAACGACAGUGGCAUGUUCCAUAUUGAACACUAUUGCAAUCCAAAUGAUACAAUCCUGAAACCGUAGAGCCAAAAACAGCAGUGACAAUUAACAACGUAUCACUCAUGAUUCAUAGGUUACAAUGUUUUUCUACAUUGCAACAGUUUCAGCACAUCAAUAGCUGUGAGGCACUUUGGAUAUCUGUAUAGGUUCUAUUUAAAAACAAGUCUUUUUCACACUUCAUUGAAGGACUUACUUCCUAAUUAGUUCUAAUCACUGUUCCCUCUAAAUUGUGCAGGUGUGCGGCUGCUCAGUAACUGAAAUGGCCUUUAUUGCCGCACAGCUGGAAUUGGAUGCCGCUAGAAAAAGUUUACAAAAUGUGUAAGAUUUUCUUUGUUGUGCUGUAUUUCAUUUCACUCUAAAUAGAAGUAUGUGAUAUUUCAAACAAGAGAAAAUCUGCAGAUGCUAGAAAUCCAAAAUAACACACACAAACUGCUGGAGGAACUCAGCAGGUUAGGCAGCAUCUAUGGAAAAGAGUAAACAGUCGACGUUUUGCAGAGAACAUUAACUGUUUACUCUUUUCCAUAGAUGUGUCCUGGGGUGCUGAUUUCCUCCAGUAUUUUGUGUGUGAUUUUUCAAUUUUCAUUUUAAAAAUUCUCAUAUGCGUAUUGCCAAAAAAAAAACAAUACUGCUGUGCAGUUUUCAGCCCAUGUCUUAAUUUCCUGCUCAGAGCAAUGGUUGGUUCAGGCAGCUGUAAAAAAUUUAGAGGGAACGUUGGUUCUAAUCUUUACAAACAUGUAUAUUACUCAAUAUUUUUGUGUGCUUUAGAUUGGAGCAUUAACCUGUUUUUCCAGGGGCUUGUACAAUGAGCCUGCCAAGAUUUGUACAUACGAUGGUAAAUGCUUCCUUACAUUUUAGCAUGAUUGAAUUAUGAGGCUCUCGUUAGUCUCGUUAGAUAUUGAGUCCUCGUUGUUUACAAGCCUGUACGCAAGCUAGGGAAGUACAAUAUGGAGAGCAGGUUGUUGCACAGACAGCAGGCUCCCCCUUUCCAUGCAUUUGAUGAACCUAAAGGAAUGAGUUCAAGAGUUCCCAGUCAGCAUAGAACUCAACAUGGGACUGCCAUAGAAGUUCCAGCUCCGGAUUUUUCCACAAAGUUUACACCUGAGUUCUUUCCUAUGAGUGGAUAUAGCCACAAGACAGCAGAAGUUUGUGAUCAGAGUUUUCCUUCUCCAAGGUGAGCUGCCAAUCACAGCAGGUGAGCUCCAUCUGACCAAAGCAACGGGUUUUAAGGUGACAGUAACCCACCUUUGCCCCUUAUCCUGUCAGUAGAAAUGGUUCCACUGGGCUUACUAGUUGAGCCACACGUGAAGGCCAGGAGCUGGACUUGGAUGUCAGAGUCUAUUUGAAGCACACACCUUUGGGAGCACUUAAUUGGUAGUGGGAGUUUGUCUUGAUUACCCCCGCUGGCUAUGACAACCUUAAAGAACCAAUUUGAUCAGACCUAUUGACAAGGAAGGAAGACACAGUAAUAAACUUGUCUCUUUCUGGAUACAGCCUAAUCUUUGCUCAGAUGAUAUUUACAUCCUUAACAUUUUCACUUGGAUAGUCUCAAAAGCUACAGGAGGAAAAACAGAUCUUUCAGCCCAACUGCCUAGGCUAGGAGGAAUUGUCAAUGUUUUGAUUAGAAACCCUACAUCUGCAAUCUUUUGUGUUUUUAUACCUGAGGCUAGUGUUUAUAUUCCCUAGAUCCUCUUAGUACAUCCAGCGAGUCCUGAUUCCAUCGUUUAGGGUUUUAAGAAUGUGUGGGAAUUCAGCACCAGGAAAAAACAUUCUGUAAGAAGCUCCAUUCUUG
This is a long non-coding RNA of Hypanus sabinus (Atlantic stingray), 12159 nucleotides long. RefSeq lists it as uncharacterized. The record is from RefSeq and is a predicted model, not a curated record. The transcript is spliced from 3 exons. Lineage: Eukaryota; Metazoa; Chordata; Chondrichthyes; Myliobatiformes; Dasyatidae.